AUUUUAGUGUAAAUAUGUCCCAUGCAAUAUUUGGGAUAUUCUUAUACUAAAA
This is a non-coding RNA of Papio anubis (olive baboon), 52 nucleotides long. The record is from Rfam. NCBI's taxonomy places the organism in Eukaryota, Metazoa, Chordata, Mammalia, Primates, Cercopithecidae.